GGAGUUCGAAUUCGUACGGGAGAGAAAUUUGUUAGAAGAAAUAACAUUAUCUAAAGGGAGGAAUUGUUUAGAAAUAUUUAUUUUUGAAUGAUUUGUGAACAAAUAUAAGAUAAAAUGUCCUCUUCAGAGGCGAUGCUGUGCUAUUUAACGAGGUUUUCAUGAUCAGCCUCCUUGCCUCAGAGCCUCUGCAGUGGAAAAGACGAUGGCCAUUUGAUCUUUCAUUCGGGCAGCCUCCAUCUUUAGUCCCUCCAACUGUUUCCUCGUGUCCUUCAACUCUCUCUCCAGAGUGCCGACAGAAGCAAUAAAGCUCAUCGAUGGCCCUCCGACACUUAGCCUCCUCCAUCAGGGAGUUGCCUAGCUACCAGACUACAUGCUGACCUUACAAUGUGAAGGUCCCUUAGUUUUUCUAAGUUUUUAUCAUUGAUUUUCUUUCUCCAAAGUUGCCACUCCACUAUCCAGGGUCCAAUACAUCUGGUUGGCCAUGACAAGAAUUGCAGGCUCGGCCAGAAGCAUCUCCAGCACCUUUGGUUCCAGCUCCUGACGGUUUAACUUCAGAACAAAGGAGCCAUUGUCCGAAUUAGCUAGGCUUAUUUCGGUGUUUCUUGCUUGGAGCCUCUCCCUCUGAGGUGG
RNAcentral lists this long non-coding RNA (630 nucleotides) under Olea europaea (common olive). Its description in RNAcentral is "long non-coding RNA (OEUR_LNC002745)". The record is from RNAcentral. Lineage: Eukaryota; Viridiplantae; Streptophyta; Magnoliopsida; Lamiales; Oleaceae.